CUACUUGUUUCAGCAGUACAUAUACUAAUAUUGGAACAAUACAGAGAAGAUUAGCAUGACCCCUGUGCAAGGAUAAAACACAAAUUCAUGAAGUGUUCCCUAUUUGG
Mirounga angustirostris (Northern elephant seal) is the source of this 107-nucleotide small nuclear RNA. NCBI's taxonomy places the organism in Eukaryota, Metazoa, Chordata, Mammalia, Carnivora, Phocidae. The record is from RefSeq and is a predicted model, not a curated record.